UAUAUACUCCCUCCGUCCGGAAAUACUUGUUAUCAAAAUGAAUAAAAGGGGAUGUAUCUAGACAUAUAUUAGUUCUAGAUACAUCUCUUUUUAUUCAUUUUGAUGACAAGUAUUUGGGGACGGAGGGAGUAGUUU
Non-coding RNA from Triticum aestivum (bread wheat), 135 nucleotides. The record is from Rfam. NCBI's taxonomy places the organism in Eukaryota, Viridiplantae, Streptophyta, Magnoliopsida, Poales, Poaceae.